GUGGGAAUAAGAGUAGACACCCCCUUCACAUGCAACUGCAUUCUACUUAGCUUACAUGUGGGUCAAAGUAAAUUCUCUUGCUAGACAUGAACUUAUGGCAUGCUGGUUAUUUGUUUCUCUUUGUUCUCCUAGGUUUAAGUGGGUUCCUACACUAUGUAAGUUAUGUGGUUAAUAGAAAUUUCAGAUUAAGAAUUAAUGUGGUAAACAAAUGUUUACAGAAAUUUCAGAUUGUGGUAAACAAAAAUUCCACACAAAAAAAAGGGUCCUUUAUUUAAGAGAACCUACAGCUCUUCCUCUGGUUUUUAAGGAACUCCCUACCCAUGUUAUGCUUUGGUACAUAGUAUUUUUGGAGGUUGAAGAAAAAAAAAAUUAUUUACAAUAUUGGCUGCCUCCAUUUAGCAUUUAUAAUCUAUGGAAAUGUAAACAAUACACAGGCACUGAUUUCCUCAAUUAUGUUGACAUUAUCUCUUGA
Macrobrachium nipponense is the source of this 472-nucleotide long non-coding RNA. RefSeq lists it as uncharacterized. The record is from RefSeq and is a predicted model, not a curated record. The transcript is spliced from 2 exons. NCBI's taxonomy places the organism in Eukaryota, Metazoa, Arthropoda, Malacostraca, Decapoda, Palaemonidae.